This 24-nucleotide microRNA is filed under the name Prunus persica (peach). RNAcentral describes it as "microRNA miRNA_33". Lineage: Eukaryota; Viridiplantae; Streptophyta; Magnoliopsida; Rosales; Rosaceae. The record is from RNAcentral.
AGAGAGAUGGUACACAAGUUGGUC